CCGUUGGUGGACCUUCAUUUCUUGAAGCUUUGGUGUCUCGUGCAAAUAUUUUGUAGGACAACUUUUUUCCUUCUAGCUGUUGUAAAAGCUUGUUAACUUUGCAUAUAUUGAAUGUUGUAGGCUUAUUCGCACCUUCGAGCUCACAUUUGUCGCUAGUAAUAGAUUUAUCCCCAUUCUCCCUACUAGUGAAUUCACCACAUCCAUAUCUUUGUUUAUCAUAUUUUUCAUCAGUAGUAAAAUUUUCAAGAUCCUCCCUCUCUUCUCCAUCAUUAAGUGGAAAAAUAUACAAAUAGCGCCUCCAUUUGGCAGAAAAAUUAGGAUGGAAUACACGUGAAACCUCAGAAACGGAUAUAACCCUAAGUUUUCCGGGUGCUGAACUAUUGAUGGCAUCUUCAAUUUCAUGAGGUCUAACAUCCUUUCUCCAAGUAUAGAACGAACAAAUUUGUCGAAGAGCUGAGACACCUUUGUCCGUGCGCCCAGCUACCACAGCACAACCUUCAAGGGGUUUACACUUGUCCUUUAGUUGUUGAGAUUUCUUCUCAUCAAUAAAUCUCCCAAGCGACCUUUCUACUAAGCCCUGGACAGUGUUCAAGCCAGGCUGUUUCUGCCACCCAUCAAAUGAUCCCCCGUUAUAUGAAAGAACUAUCUUGAAUGUUACUCUUGCCCACCUACCAAACUUUUCUUUAUUUGAAGAAUCGUCUAAUUGAGUCUUACAGGAGAUCUCUUGAAUUUUUACAUCAUCAUGAACAAAAGGCAUCUGAGUUCCAAACAACUCUAACAAUGACGAGUGCCCGUUCACCACAUUCGAAUAAAAUUCAACAACUUCUUGCCAAGGCCUUGCAUACAUGAAUUGAAAGCUCUCCCUGGCUGUCCAUCUG
This 878-nucleotide unclassified non-coding RNA is filed under the name Hevea brasiliensis (rubber tree). The record is from RNAcentral. Lineage: Eukaryota; Viridiplantae; Streptophyta; Magnoliopsida; Malpighiales; Euphorbiaceae.